RNAcentral lists this unclassified non-coding RNA (663 nucleotides) under Hevea brasiliensis (rubber tree). The record is from RNAcentral. Lineage: Eukaryota; Viridiplantae; Streptophyta; Magnoliopsida; Malpighiales; Euphorbiaceae.
AAAAAAAAAAAAAAAAAAUCAAUAGUGCAUGUACGCAACUAUCAAUUUGCAAACCAAACAGGAUUGGCAAUCUUCACCUCUUCCCUUUGUCCAUUCAAUGCCCACUACCAUCAGAACCAUACUAACCACAUGAAAACAAUUAUUAUAGCCACAAAGGCCCUACGGCUACAGUGUCAGGAAGGGACAAAAUUACACAAUACUCCCUGCUUGUAUACUCCUACAGAUGCAGAGACAAUAAGGGCAGUUAAGUAAGUUUAUCCCCUGCAUUUUUGCCGUGAAAUUAGGAACCUUCGUUGAUGUUAAUUUGUGGGGCUAGUUCGUUAGAUUUAGAAUAUUAUUACUAAACUUUCUAAGGACAGUUUUUCAAAACCUGCUCGAUUCUGCUCUCAUUUUGUCUGGACCCUGGAAAGAGAGCCAGGAAACCAACAGUAAUUACCAAUUACUUCGUUUCCAGGGAAAUGCUUCCAGGAGAAUAUUUUCCUGGGAAACAAACAGGUAAUCAUAGCAUCAAUGCAGUCUUUAAUAACAGACAAGUGAAAUGGAGAUCUUAAAGCAAAAGAAAGAGAAUCAGUUAUAACAAAAGACCAAACAGAGUACCAUGUAAACCUACUUUCUACCAAUGAUAUCUGCUAUUUCUGAUUUAACAAUAUAUAUAUAUAUAUA